Molecule: ribosomal RNA, 523 nt
Filed under: uncultured bacterium
Lineage: Bacteria
Description: bacterial SSU rRNA
Rfam family: Bacterial small subunit ribosomal RNA
Source: RNAcentral
UGGGGAAUAUUGGACAAUGGACCAAGAGUCUGAUCCAGCAAUUCUGUGUGCACGAUGAAGUUUUUCGGAAUGUAAAGUGCUUUCAGUUGGGAAGAAAGAAAUGACGGUACCAACAGAAGAAGUGACGGCUAAAUACGUGCCAGCAGCCGCGGUAAUACGUAUGUCACGAGCGUUAUCCGGAUUUAUUGGGCGUAAAGCGCGUCUAGGUGGUUAUGUAAGUCUGAUGUGAAAAUGCAGGGCUCAACUCUGGAUUGCGUUGGAAACUGUAUAACUAGAGUACUGGAGAGGUAAGCGGAACUACAAGUGUAGAGGUGAAAUUCGUAGAUAUUUGUAGGAAUGCCGAUGGGGAAGCCAGCUUACUGGACAGAUACUGACGCUGAAGCGCGAAAGCGUGGGUAGCAAACAGGAUUAGAUACCCUGGUAGUCCACGCCGUAAACGAUGAUUACUAGGUGUUGGGGGUCGAACCUCAGCGCCCAAGCAAACGCGAUAAGUAAUCCGCCUGGGGAGUACGUACGCAAGUAU